AUAGCGUAUAUUAAAGUUGUUGCAGUUAAAAAGCUCGUAGUUGAACUUCAGAUUUGGUCGGGUGGUCCGCUUAACGGCGUGUUACUGCUUGGCUGGGUCUUGUCUCUUGGUGAACCAUUGUGCCCUUUAUUGGUGUGCUUUGGGGAACCAGGACUUUUACCUUGAGAAAAUUAGAGUGUUCAAAGCAGGCCUAUGCCUGGAUACAUUAGCAUGGAAUAAUAGAAUAGGACGUGUGGUUCUAUUUUGUUGGUUUCUAGAAUUGCCGUAAUGAUUAAUAGGGAUAGUUGGGGGCAUUAGUAUUCAGUUGCUAGAGGUGAAAUUCUUGGAUUUACUGAAGACUAACUAUUG
Molecule: ribosomal RNA, 348 nt
Filed under: uncultured eukaryote
Lineage: Eukaryota
Description: SSU rRNA
Rfam family: Eukaryotic small subunit ribosomal RNA
Source: RNAcentral